UACGUAGGUGGCAAGCGUUAUCCGGAAUUAUUGGGCGUAAAGGGCGCGCAGGUGGUUAAUUAAGUCUGAUGUGAAAGCCCACGGCUUAACCGUGGAGGGUCAUUGGAAACUGGUUGACUUGAGUGCAGAAGAGGGAAGUGGAAUUCCAUGUGUAGCGGUGAAAUGCGUAGAUAUAUGGAGGAACACCGGUGGCGAAAGCGGCUCUCUGGCCUGUAACUGACACUGAGGCUCGAAAGCGUGGGGAGCAAACAGG
This 253-nucleotide ribosomal RNA is filed under the name uncultured bacterium. RNAcentral describes it as "partial 16S ribosomal RNA". It matches the Rfam family "Bacterial small subunit ribosomal RNA", at positions 524 to 776 of the family's 1533-position model. The record is from RNAcentral.